GCGCUCACUUCGGCAGCACAUGUGCUAAAAUUGGAACGAUACAGAGAUUAGCAUGGCCCCUGCGCAAGGAUGACACGCAAAUUUGUGAAGCGUUCCAUGUUUUU
Delphinapterus leucas (beluga whale) is the source of this 104-nucleotide small nuclear RNA. NCBI's taxonomy places the organism in Eukaryota, Metazoa, Chordata, Mammalia, Artiodactyla, Monodontidae. The record is from Ensembl.